CCUACGGGGGGCAGCAGUGAGGAAUAUUGGUCAAUGGGCGCGAGCCUGAACCAGCCAAGUAGCGUGAAGGAUGACUGCCCUACGGGUUGUAAACUUCUUUUAUAAAGGAAUACAGUGAGGCACGUGUGCCUUUUUGUAUGUACUUUAUGAAUAAGGAUCGGCUAACUCCGUGCCAGCAGCCGCGGUAAUACGGAGGAUACGAGCGUUAUCCGGAUUUGUUGGGUUUAAAGGGAGCGUAGAUGGGUUGUUAAGUCAGUUGGGAAAGUUUGCGGCUCAACCGUAAAAUUGCAAUUGAUACUGGCAGCCUUGAGUACAGUUGAGGUAGGCGGAAGGCGUGGUGUAGCGGUGAAAUGCUGAGAUAGCACGAAGAACUCCGAUUGCGAAGGCAGCCUACUAAACUGACACUGACAUUGAUGCUCGAAAGUGUGGGUAUCAAACAGGAUUAGAUACCCCAGUAGUC
RNAcentral lists this ribosomal RNA (460 nucleotides) under uncultured bacterium. Its description in RNAcentral is "partial 16S ribosomal RNA". It matches the Rfam family "Bacterial small subunit ribosomal RNA", at positions 338 to 795 of the family's 1533-position model. The record is from RNAcentral.